CAGUCGCCACGGGAAUACGGAGGGUGCAAGCGUUAAUCGGAAUUACUGGGCGUAAAGCGCACGCAGGCGGUUUGUUAAGUCAGAUGUGAAAUCCCCGAGCUUAACUUGGGAACUGCAUUUGAAACUGGCAAGCUAGAGUCUUGUAGAGGGGGGUAGAAUUCCAGGUGUAGCGGUGAAAUGCGUAGAGAUCUGGAGGAAUACCGGUGGCGAAGGCGGCCCCCUGGACAAAGACUGACGCUCAGGUGCGAAAGCGUGGGGAGCAAACAGGAUUAGAUACCCGCGUAGUCCCUGUCUCUUAUAC
Molecule: ribosomal RNA, 301 nt
Filed under: uncultured bacterium
Lineage: Bacteria
Description: partial 16S ribosomal RNA
Rfam family: Bacterial small subunit ribosomal RNA
Source: RNAcentral